UACAGAGGAGCCAAGCGUUGUCCGGAGUUAUUGGGCGUAAAGCGCGCGCAGGCGGCUUGGCGCGCCCGACGUGAAAGCCCCCGGCUUAACCGGGGAGGGUCGUCGGGUACGGCCAGGCUUGAGGGCGGGAGAGGGUGGUGGAAUUCCCGGUGUAGUGGUGAAAUGCGUAGAGAUCGGGAGGAACACCUGUGGCGAAGGCGGCCACCUGGGCCGAC
Molecule: ribosomal RNA, 215 nt
Filed under: uncultured bacterium
Lineage: Bacteria
Description: partial 16S ribosomal RNA
Rfam family: Bacterial small subunit ribosomal RNA
Source: RNAcentral